UCUGGAAGUAACCCCAGGUGAUCUGUCCAGGCUCUGAAGUUGUGAAAGAGAAGACUGAAAACCCGGAGCUGAGUGACUUCCUUAAGGUGAGGAAAGAGAAGUAAUAUACUCUGUGUUCCUGGGGAACUAAGAGGUGGAACUGAACCCAGGCAACCUGAUCUUACAAUAAAUCUGUGCUCCUAACACUACUCAAAGAAGGCAACCAGCAGGAUUUGAUUUUCAUUUGUAUGAGAGGAAGAAGACACAUGAUACGAGUUGGCUCAUGUGCCUGAAUAUGGCCCCACAGGGAAGAUU
Artibeus jamaicensis (Jamaican fruit-eating bat) is the source of this 294-nucleotide long non-coding RNA. RefSeq lists it as uncharacterized. The record is from RefSeq and is a predicted model, not a curated record. The transcript has 3 exons. NCBI's taxonomy places the organism in Eukaryota, Metazoa, Chordata, Mammalia, Chiroptera, Phyllostomidae.